Molecule: transfer RNA, 86 nt
Filed under: compost metagenome
Description: tRNA-Tyr
Source: RNAcentral
GGAUGAUGUAGAGAUGCUUGGCAAGCAUCAGGGCGCUGUAAACGCCUCGCCUUUGGCUAGUGGUUCGACUCCAUCAUCAUCCACCA